AUUGAACGCUGGCGGCAUGCUUUACACAUGCAAGUCGAGCGGCAACAGGCCGCGAGGUGCCGACGAGUGGCGAACGGUUGAGUAAUGGAGCGGAACGCGCCGGGUCGUGGGGGAUAGCUACUCGUAAGAGUAGCUAACACCGCCUACGAUCUAUUGCGGACAGCGGGGGACAGCAGGGCCUCGCGGGAUUUUGCGGGCCGGUAUGAGACGAUGUCGGUUUAGGGAGUUGGUGGGGUAAAGGCCAACCAAGGUAGCUAUCUGUAGCUGGUCUGAGAGGACGAUCAGCCACACUGGAACUGAGACACGGCCCAGACUCCUACGGGAGGCAGCAGUGGGGAAUAUUGGACAAAGGGCGCAAGCCUGAUCCAGCCAUGCCGCGUGCAGGAAGAAGGCCUUCGGGUUGUAAACUGCUUUUGUACGGAACGAAACGCAGCUGGUUAAUACCCCGCGCUACUGACGGUACCCAAAGAAUAAGCACCGGCUAACUACGUG
RNAcentral lists this ribosomal RNA (492 nucleotides) under uncultured bacterium. Its description in RNAcentral is "partial 16S ribosomal RNA". It matches the Rfam family "Bacterial small subunit ribosomal RNA", at positions 29 to 507 of the family's 1533-position model. The record is from RNAcentral.